This 468-nucleotide ribosomal RNA is filed under the name uncultured bacterium. RNAcentral's name for it is "partial 16S ribosomal RNA". It matches the Rfam family "Bacterial small subunit ribosomal RNA", at positions 28 to 507 of the family's 1533-position model. The record is from RNAcentral.
GACGAACGCUGGCGGCGUGCUUAACACAUGCAAGUCGAACGGAAAGGCCCUGCUUUUGUGGGGUGCUCGAGUGGCGAACGGGUGAGUAACACGUGAGUAACCUGCCCUUGACUUUGGGAUAACUUCAGGAAACUGGGGCUAAUACCGGAUAGGAGCUCCUGCUGCAUGGUGGGGGUUGGAAAGUUUCGGCGGUUGGGGAUGGACUCGCGGCUUAUCAGCUUGUUGGUGGGGUAGUGGCUUACCAAGGCUUUGACGGGUAGCCGGCCUGAGAGGGUGACCGGCCAGGGGGGGGGGGAGGGGAGGACCAGGGUAGUACGGGAGGAGUGAGUGGGAUAGAUGGGCCAGUGGGGGGAGACGUGAGGAAGCAAGGACGGGUGCUGGAGGACGGCCGGCGGGUGGGAAACCGCGUGAGCGGGGGAAGAAGCGGGAGGUACGUGGAUGGGGAAAGAAGCACCGGCUAACUACGGG